AUUGCUUCUCGGCCUUUUGGCUAAGAUCAAGUGUAGUAUCUGUUCUUAACAGUUUAAUAUCAGAUACGUCCUCUAUUCGAGGACAAAAUAUCAAAUGGAUUUUUGCUCUGUCCACUCCAUGCAUCGACCUGGUAUUGUAGUAUCUCUAGGACCGGUGCACCCCCU
This 165-nucleotide small nuclear RNA is filed under the name Nannospalax galili (Upper Galilee mountains blind mole rat). RNAcentral's name for it is "U2 spliceosomal RNA (ENSNGAG00000003848.1)". It matches the Rfam family "U2 spliceosomal RNA". Rfam says of the family: U2 is a small nuclear RNA (snRNA) component of the spliceosome (involved in pre-mRNA splicing). The record is from Rfam by way of RNAcentral. Lineage: Eukaryota; Metazoa; Chordata; Mammalia; Rodentia; Spalacidae.